RNAcentral lists this ribosomal RNA (551 nucleotides) under Bifidobacterium longum subsp. infantis. Its description in RNAcentral is "bacterial SSU rRNA". It matches the Rfam family "Bacterial small subunit ribosomal RNA", at positions 146 to 712 of the family's 1533-position model. The record is from RNAcentral. RNAcentral also lists the same sequence under 1 other name. Lineage: Bacteria; Bacillati; Actinomycetota; Actinomycetes; Bifidobacteriales; Bifidobacteriaceae.
UCUCCUGGAAACGGGUGGUAAUGCCGGAUGCUCCAGUUGAUCGCAUGGUCUUCUGGGAAAGCUUUCGCGGUAUGGGAUGGGGUCGCGUCCUAUCAGCUUGACGGCGGGGUAACGGCCCACCGUGGCUUCGACGGGUAGCCGGCCUGAGAGGGCGACCGGCCACAUUGGGACUGAGAUACGGCCCAGACUCCUACGGGAGGCAGCAGUGGGGAAUAUUGCACAAUGGGCGCAAGCCUGAUGCAGCGACGCCGCGUGAGGGAUGGAGGCCUUCGGGUUGUAAACCUCUUUUAUCGGGGAGCAAGCGAGAGUGAGUUUACCCGUUGAAUAAGCACCGGCUAACUACGUGCCAGCAGCCGCGGUAAUACGUAGGGUGCAAGCGUUAUCCGGAAUUAUUGGGCGUAAAGGGCUCGUAGGCGGUUCGUCGCGUCCGGUGUGAAAGUCCAUCGCUUAACGGUGGAUCCGCGCCGGGUACGGGCGGGCUUGAGUGCGGUAGGGGAGACUGGAAUUCCCGGUGUAACGGUGGAAUGUGUAGAUAUCGGGAAGAACACCAA